CACGUAGGGCGCGAGCGUUGUCCGGAAUUAUUGGGCGUAAAGAGCUCGUAGGCGGCCUGGUGCGUCCGCUGUGAAAGCCCGGGGCUUAACCCCGGGUCGGCAGUGGAUACGGGCAGGCUUGAGUUCGGUAGGGGAGACUGGAAUUCCUGGUGUAGCGGUGAAAUGCGCAGAUAUCAGGAGGAACACCGGUGGCGAAGGCGGGUCUCUGGGCAGAUACUGACGCUGAGGAGCGAAAGCGUGGGGAGCGAACAGG
RNAcentral lists this ribosomal RNA (253 nucleotides) under uncultured bacterium. RNAcentral's name for it is "partial 16S ribosomal RNA". It matches the Rfam family "Bacterial small subunit ribosomal RNA", at positions 524 to 776 of the family's 1533-position model. The record is from RNAcentral.